RNAcentral lists this ribosomal RNA (464 nucleotides) under uncultured bacterium. RNAcentral describes it as "partial 16S ribosomal RNA". It matches the Rfam family "Bacterial small subunit ribosomal RNA", at positions 31 to 507 of the family's 1533-position model. The record is from RNAcentral.
GAACGCUGGCGGCGUGCUUAACACAUGCAAGUCGAACGGAAAGGCCCUGCUUUUGUGGGGUGCUCGAGUGGCGAACGGGUGAGUAACACGUGAGUAACCUGCCCUUGACUUUGGGAUAACUUCAGGAAACUGGGGCUAAUACCGGAUAGGAGCUCCUGCUGCAUGGUGGGGGUUGGAAAGUUUCGGCGGUUGGGGAUGGACUCGCGGCUUAUCAGCUUGUUGGUGGGGUAGUGGCUUACCAAGGCUUUGACGGGUAGCCGGCCUGAGAGGGUGACCGGCCACAUUGGGACUGGGAUACGGCCCAGACUCCUACGGGAGGCAGCAGUGGGGAAUAUUGCACAAUGGGCGGAAGCCUGAUGCAGCAACGCCGCGUGCGGGAUGACGGCCUUCGGGUUGUAAACCGCUUUCGCCUGUGACGAAGCGUGAGUGACGGUAAUGGGGAAAGAAGCACCGGCUACUACGUG